CCUACGGGAGGCAGCAGUGAGGAAUAUUGGUCAAUGGGCGGAAGCCUGAACCAGCCAAGUCGCGUGAGGGAUUAAGGCCCUGCGGGUCGUAAACCUCUUUUAUAAGGGAAUAAAGUGUGGGACGUGUCCUGUUUUGUAUGUACCUUAUGAAUAAGGAUCGGCUAACUCCGUGCCAGCAGCCGCGGUAAUACGGAGGAUCCGAGCGUUAUCCGGAUUUAUUGGGUUUAAAGGGUGCGUAGGCGGCCUUUUAAGUCAGCGGUGAAAGUCUGUGGCUCAACCAUAGAAUUGCCGUUGAAACUGGGAGGCUUGAGUAUGUUUGAGGCAGGCGGAAUGCGUGGUGUAGCGGUGAAAUGCUUAGAUAUCACGCAGAACCCCGAUUGCGAAGGCAGCCUGCCAAGCCAUGACUGACGCUGAUGCACGAAAGCGUGGGGAUCAAACAGGAUUAGAUACCCCUGUAGUC
RNAcentral lists this ribosomal RNA (460 nucleotides) under uncultured bacterium. RNAcentral describes it as "partial 16S ribosomal RNA". It matches the Rfam family "Bacterial small subunit ribosomal RNA", at positions 338 to 795 of the family's 1533-position model. The record is from RNAcentral.